RNAcentral lists this ribosomal RNA (504 nucleotides) under Chrysomantis speciosa. Its description in RNAcentral is "partial 16S ribosomal RNA". It matches the Rfam family "Bacterial large subunit ribosomal RNA", at positions 1845 to 2607 of the family's 2925-position model. Lineage: Eukaryota; Metazoa; Arthropoda; Insecta; Mantodea; Hymenopodidae. The record is from RNAcentral.
UUAGGAGAUUUAACCUGCCCACUGAAGGAUUUUGAAGGGCCGCAGUAUUUUGACUGUGCAAAGGUAGCAUAAUCAUUAGUCUUUUAAUUGAAGGCUGGUAUGAAUGGUUGGAUGAGGUGAAUUCUGUUUUAUAUAUAUUGGAAUUGAAUUUAGAUUUUAAGUAAAAAGACUUAAAUAUUAUUAAGGGACGAGAAGACCCUAUAGAGUUUUAUAAAUUAAAUAAUUGGUUAAGUUAUUAAUAAGUUUUUAAUUAUUAUGGAUUUUAUUUAAUUGGGGUGAUUAGAAGAUAUAAGAAACUCUUCUUUAAAUUAAAUGUUAUAAUUAGAUUAAUGAUCCAUAAAUUAUGAUUGAAAGAUUUAAUUACCUUAGGGAUAACAGCAUAAUUUCUUUUGAGAGUUCAUAUUGAAAAGGAAGAUUGUGACCUCGAUGUUGGAUUAAGAUUAGUUUUAGGUGUAGGUGUUUAUAAACUAGGUCUGUUCGACCUUUAAAAUCUUACAUGAUCUG